RNAcentral lists this long non-coding RNA (1258 nucleotides) under Citrus x clementina. RNAcentral's name for it is "Citrus clementina (C. clementina) long non-coding RNA (CCLE_LNC001913)". The record is from RNAcentral. Lineage: Eukaryota; Viridiplantae; Streptophyta; Magnoliopsida; Sapindales; Rutaceae.
AUUAAUCAACCAAGCUCCAGCAGAAGUACAAAAUGAAGCUUCAAUAACAGGAUAGCUUAUUCAUGUUUACAUCGAGCUUCAUUAACAGUAAAAUUAACCCUUUGCGUCUUUAACUAAAAUUAAGUCAAAAAUCAAAAUAUCUAGCCUGCAGACAUCACACAGCAACCCAUCUAGAAUUUUUUCAACACACCCAGUUACAUCUUAAUCAAAAAAUUUCUAGCAAUCUAUGACAGCAUUCUUCGUCAUCAAUCAGAACUGAAAUAUCCCGAUCAUAAGUUUAACCCAUUUUCGCCAGUAAUUAACUGCUAAGGAUAUUCCUAUAUAAAGUAUUGAGUGAUGAUACAGUUACAAACUCUUGUAUAAACUUAUCUUAUACAAACUGAUGUGUCAUUAAUUCAUUAGUUGAAUGAAAAUAUAAAAUAAUAGAAAUAAAUCAUAUGGGUCAAGAGAUAUUUAAUUCAACCAAUUUUAUCAUGCCACAUCAGUUUCUACAAAAUAAAUUUGUACAAGAGUUUGUAGCUAUAUCCUUACUCUAAAGUAUUAAUCCCUCCAAUCAAGCCUCGUAAUCAUCCAUCUUUCAUGUUUCAUAAUUUACCAUACAAUUAGUUGUCUUGUGAUUGUUUAUGUGACUCCUAGUACCUAAUUACGUCAAUUGUUCCACUUUCUGUAUUUAAAUACUUUCACAAUUAGCCCAAGAGUCUAGUUGAGUGGUUUUUAAAUAGUUUUAUUUGACUUGCUGCCUGAAUUCGAAUUAUUGAAAAGUAGGGGAUUAAUUCAUUAUGUAUCCCUCAAAUGAUCUUUACAGGAUGUAUCACAAAGUUGAUACACCAUGAAUCCCGUAUAUUCUGCUUAGAGGGUAUGUGUCCCUUACGAGUUACGAGAGACAACAGCUUACAUGUCCAAAUUUUAACAAAUAACUUCAAAAGAGUUAAUGGAAGUUACUUUUUCAAAUUCAAACACGUAAGUGCCAUGUAAUUGCCCAUAUGAAGGCAAGACUCCAUCUCAAAAAUUGUUGUUCCAAUACUCUAUCUACAAUACUAAAGUUUCACUUACAAUGUGUACAAUUAGAUGGUUUUGACAACUUGUAUUUUAUUGUAUUAUAUUGCAUUAAAAUAUUAUUCUUAUACUAACCUAUAUUUGACAGUAAUUUUUAAUUGCAUUGCACUACAUUAAAAAGGGGACUAAUACAAUAAAAGAUGUAUAAUCUAAUUAAACUCAUGGAGUUGGUAGGGUUUACAUUGUAUUGCAUUUAAAUAUU